This is a long non-coding RNA of Bombina bombina (fire-bellied toad), 1249 nucleotides long. RefSeq lists it as uncharacterized. Lineage: Eukaryota; Metazoa; Chordata; Amphibia; Anura; Bombinatoridae. The transcript has 3 exons. The record is from RefSeq and is a predicted model, not a curated record.
AUUUAAACUACACUGAGAUGGGCUUUCCUCAUGCUGCUGAUAUCCUGAGCUCCUGCAUUUCUUCUAUUGACCCUGGUUUGCUGGAAGCUGCAUAGCUGUAACCUGAUUCAACAACCAAUGCAAUAGUCAUGAUAAAGGACUGUGAAGAACCAACAGCGUCAAUACCCGCACAAACUGAGGGUUAAAGAGACAAAAUGAAGUGUACGGAAGAAAACAGUCCAAGGAAAAAGCAAAAACAGAGAAAAAACACGUUUUAAGUCACAAAAUGUACAAUUGUGUCACAAAAACACAAAUAAUGGUGUGCUUAAUGAAUAAGCCAUGUUUUAUACUGUGUCGGCUUAAGAAAUGAUUUGAACACAUUACAGCAUAAUUUUGAUAACUUUCAAGGCAAUUUCAUAAAUUUGUUUCUUUCAGUAUUUUACCUCUUUUAAUGUGAUACACAAUAGUUAUGUAGGUUUUCAGCAGAAGCAGGAUGGCCAUAAGACCAAGACCACAUGACUAUCAAUGGUUGGACAUGGGAUGAACUAUAGGACAACUAGAUGACUAAACAGAUCAUACAGGCUUAUGCCAGAAUUGAAUUGUACAGAGUUUCGGACGGACUGCAGGAGAGUUGUGUCUACCAUGAUAAGGACGAUGAUUGGAAUCCACCUUUUAGAUGACUAUGUGAAUUAACUAGUAAACUACCAUCAGGUACACACAUGGCCAAAUUUGUAUCAGCUGGUCCCAAGACUUACGGGUACAAACUGAAUAAUAUAAAGACAAAUUUAAAAGUAAAGGUUAUAACUCUGAACUCUGCUAACGCCGACAUAAUCAGCUUUGAGAGUUUAAAAGAUCUAGUGUUGCAUUACCCUUCAAAUUCUUGAGUAGACGCAGCAGAGGUGUAUCGUCAGGAACAAACAAUACUGACAAGUUGACAAGUCCACUGAGGAAAACACAAAAGUGUGUUUAUACAAAGAGACUGUUAUCACAUGACUUUAUUACACUACCGUUCGGGUACAAAUUGAGAAUCAUGGAUACAACUUUGAAACGCCCCUUUUCCUGUGAUUUUUUUUUUUUUUUUUUAUAUAUAAACAGGUCCUUCAAAUCCUGGAAAAAAAGUUAUUUUGUUAGACAAGUCCUACAUCACUCUGAUUUGCUUCUGUCUCAUAAACCUGAUAAUAUUGUUUUGGUUUUAUGCCCGUUGGCAGAGAUUGUAUGAUGAACUAUUAAAGUAUUUUUUCCAUAUUAAAUUUACAGAGGGUCUACCUAA